This 75-nucleotide transfer RNA is filed under the name Nostoc sp. Its description in RNAcentral is "tRNA-Leu". It matches the Rfam family "tRNA". From Rfam's summary of the family: Transfer RNA (tRNA) molecules are approximately 80 nucleotides in length. Their secondary structure includes four short double-helical elements and three loops (D, anti-codon, and T loops). RNAcentral also lists the same sequence under 4 other names. Lineage: Bacteria; Bacillati; Cyanobacteriota; Cyanophyceae; Nostocales; Nostocaceae. The record is from RNAcentral.
GCUGCUGUAGCCCAACUGGAAGCAGGCGCUGGUCUUAGAAACCAGAGGUUGUGGGUUCGACUCCCACCAGCAGUA